RNAcentral lists this ribosomal RNA (138 nucleotides) under uncultured eukaryote. RNAcentral describes it as "partial 18S ribosomal RNA". It matches the Rfam family "Eukaryotic small subunit ribosomal RNA", at positions 1299 to 1458 of the family's 1831-position model. The record is from RNAcentral.
UGGUGGAGUGAUUUGUCUGGUUAAUUCCGAUAACGAACGAGACCUUAACCUGCUAAAUAGACAGGCCGGCUUUGGCUGGUCGCUGUCUUCUUAGAGGGACUUUUGGCGUUUAGCCAAAGGAAGUUUGAGGCAAUAACA